Molecule: long non-coding RNA, 437 nt
Filed under: Setaria italica (foxtail millet)
Lineage: Eukaryota; Viridiplantae; Streptophyta; Magnoliopsida; Poales; Poaceae
Description: long non-coding RNA (SITA_LNC000734)
Source: RNAcentral
UUUUCCAACUCCUCCUUCCUCCACCACCACCGUACCCGGCGGCCCCCGGAGCCCGCGCAGAUGGCGACCGCGGCCACGGCGUCCGCGACCGCGGCGACCCGCUUUACGCUCCUAGCGGGCGCCGGCCUCCGCAGCCGCGCCGCCCGCCUCCCCACUGCCGUGCGGUUCCAGCGCCAGCGGGGGCUCACCACCACCGCGCUCCUCAAGACCGCCGACCUCCGCCCCAAGGAGCAGGGCCAGCCCGAGACGCUCGACUACCGCGUGUUCCUCGUCGACGGCGGGGGCCGGAAGGUGUCGCCGUGGCACGACGUGCCGCUGCGCGCCGGGGACGGGGUGUUCCACUUCAUCGUCGAGAUCCCCAAGGAGAGCAGCGCCAAGAUGGAGGUCGCCACCGACGAGGCCUUCACGCCCAUCAAGCAGGACACCAAGAAGGGCAA